This 731-nucleotide ribosomal RNA is filed under the name uncultured crenarchaeote. Its description in RNAcentral is "bacterial SSU rRNA". It matches the Rfam family "Archaeal small subunit ribosomal RNA", at positions 119 to 833 of the family's 1478-position model. Lineage: Archaea; Thermoproteati; Thermoproteota. The record is from RNAcentral.
GACGGGAAUACCCCCGGGAAACUGGGGCUAGUUCCCGAUAGGUGAAGAACUCUGGAAUGAGUCUCCGCCCAAAAGACGCUUAAAUCAUGCUUUUAGGCGCCGCCCAAGGAUGGGGCCGCGACCGAUCAGGUAGUUGGUGAGGCAACGGCUCACCAAGCCUUUAACCGGUGCGGGCCGUGGGAGCGGGAGCCCGGAGAUGGGCACUGAGACAAGGGCCCAGGCCCUACGGGGCGCAGCAGUCGCGAAAACUUUGCAAUACACGAAAGUGUGACAGGGCUAUCCCGAGUGCCAUCCGCUGAGGAAGGCUUUUACCCAGUCUAGAAAGCUGGGAGAAUAAGGAGAGGGCAAGUCUAGUGUCAGCCGCCGCGGUAAUACCAGCUCUCCGAGUGGUGUGGAUGUUUAUUGGGCCUAAAGCAUCCGUAGCUGGCCAAGUUAGUCCCCUGUUAAAUCCACCGAAUUAAUCGUUGGUGUGCGGGGGAUACUGCUCGGCUAGGGGACGAGAGAGGCCGACGGUAUUUUCGGGGUAGGGGUGAAAUCCUAUAAUCCCGAGAGGACCACCAGUGGCGAAGGCUGUCGGCUAGAACGCGCCCGACGGUGAGGGAUGAAAGCUGGGGUAGCGAACCGGAUUAGAUACCCGGGUAGCCCCAGCUGUAAACGAUGCAGGCUAGGUGUUUGGGCGGCCACGUGCCGCUCUAGUGCCGCAGGGAAGCUGUUAAGCCUGCCGCCUGGGG